UGUCAAACUGUUCACACGCAUUUUUUCGACACCAGAAGCAAAUCAAAAUUUUAUCCGGGAAAAGAUGAGCCCUCCAGAGGACCAUCAAACUGCAACGGCUGCGGAUAUCGAGCCGGCCAUAGACCCUAAUCAAGAAGUGGUUACUUCAGAAGAUCUUUAUGCUGAUGCGGUUUCGGAAAUCGGAAAUCAAAAUGUCUCAAGUGAACAGCAAGCUCAAUCUGCAUCAGUUCCGGACAUCGAACAAGCUGCAGAGCCCGAUCAAGAUGUUGUUCCAGUGGGACCGCCACUACCGACACCCGAAGAAAUAGAGCCACAAGAUCGAGGAACUGGUAUUCAUUCGUCACCCGUAGAUGCUGGGUCCCGAAGGAUGAGGCGACGCAGUCGUAUGAGGCGACCACGAUCACGAUCCCACCGAUCUCGAUCACGACGCCGCAGCCGAAGUGGUCGCCGUUAAAAUUUCUAAAGCGCGUGAUAAAA
This 477-nucleotide long non-coding RNA is filed under the name Aedes aegypti (yellow fever mosquito). RNAcentral describes it as "uncharacterized LOC125446240 (LOC125446240)". The record is from RNAcentral. Lineage: Eukaryota; Metazoa; Arthropoda; Insecta; Diptera; Culicidae.